AUCUGUGUGUGUGUGGAUAGUGUUCAGCACCAUAAAUGUUUACCUGUGUGUGGAUAGUGUUCAGCACCAGGGGCAGGCAUGCUUCCCU
Non-coding RNA from Branchiostoma floridae (Florida lancelet), 88 nucleotides. Lineage: Eukaryota; Metazoa; Chordata; Leptocardii; Amphioxiformes; Branchiostomatidae. The record is from Rfam.